Molecule: non-coding RNA, 31 nt
Filed under: Mus musculus (house mouse)
Lineage: Eukaryota; Metazoa; Chordata; Mammalia; Rodentia; Muridae
Source: RNAcentral
UAGUGAGAUAUAAAUGUUGACACAUUGCCUA